GUCUGAGUGAGGAUAGGGAACUCUCCAAAUUGGGGGACUUCUAAGGGUUCAAGACCAAAUGUGGAAGAGCCACAUAGGAGAGAGAAAGCAGAAUGUGAUAUCAGAAGCUGCUGCUGUCCAAAGAGGAACCAAAGAAGAAACAAGGAAUGAGUAGAUUGAGGGGUGCAGCUAAGACUGAACACAGCAGAAAAGCACAAGGACUCCAGCUAGCUGACUUCCUGCGGCACAUCGGCCCGACUGCAUCUGACCGUUCCCACACAGUACCUUGCAGGAAAUGUGUCCAAUCUUCCCACAGGUUUCACGGAAGCAGAAAACACUGGAGAGGAGGGCUCACUCCACAAGACCCCAAGAGCUUUGGAGAAUCCAGAUGUCGCCACAAUCCUUAGCCCCGCCCUCAGCUUCGCUCCCUACUGUCCCCAAGAAAAUUAAAGACGCCUGGAACAAAUGAUGGAGUUCGUGUCUCCCUGGGACCCACGAGUCUGUGUGUGUGUGAAACACUGAUUUUUUUUUUUUUUUUUUAUAGAGACUAAGUUAUUUUUUUUCCUGGAAAGAUGUUGACAUGCCUUUGGAGGAUCAUUGGCCGGGAAAGUUUCCUGAUGCAUGAAGACAUGGUCUUCCUUCUCCUUGGCACACACGCACAUCUCCCUGAGGCCCUGGAUCAGCAGCCUCAUCACCACUCCGCUCAUCCGUUCCACUGAGCUGGGGUCACAAAGCAGGCCAGGGCACUAGCUCCUUCCACAGCUCUCAGCAAAUGUGGCUUUCUGCAACUGCCAUGCUGAAAACAGCAUACAUUUAUUCUCUUCUAGUCCU
Molecule: long non-coding RNA, 810 nt
Organism: Nannospalax galili (Upper Galilee mountains blind mole rat)
Lineage: Eukaryota; Metazoa; Chordata; Mammalia; Rodentia; Spalacidae
Exons: 4
Source: RefSeq, a predicted model, not a curated record